UGGAGAUGACAGUUGUUCUGGAAUGUGUGCCUACACCUGUAGCGGUAGCUGUAACCUCUAUCUAGGCUCCAUACUGUAAUUAAGUUACUUUCCAGUUAGACUAAAAAGGACCUACAUUGUUGGUGGAUGUUCCAAGGGAUACAAACUUAAUAGGUCUACAAAGGUGUGAAAAGAGCUGUAGACUGAUGUAGAUAAAUUACUUGAGGCCUGAUCUUAAGAGAGGCACAUUCUCGCAGCAAGAAGAGAACUUGAUAAUCAAACUUCAUACAGUUCUAUGUAACAGAGAGAGCCUUUGCUUUGCAUGUAGCUUGUGUUUGCAAAAGAGCAAGGAGUGUAGCUAUAGUGGGUUCCUAGCACUCAAGACAGGAAUUGUUGGAUUAUAGUUGCCUGGAAAUGUUGUAUUGAAAUUGGAAAUUGGAAUUAGAAUUGGAAUUGAAAUUGAAAUGUGUACUAGAAAAGAAGGAAAAGAUUAUUAUGUGUGUGAAUCAUUCUAUUGUCUUUUUCUUCUAUUUGUAUAAUCAUUUGGCAUAUAAUACAGGUAGAUUACAGUUCUCUAAAUUUUUCCUA
Long non-coding RNA from Magnolia sinica, 567 nucleotides. RefSeq lists it as uncharacterized. The transcript is spliced from 4 exons. NCBI's taxonomy places the organism in Eukaryota, Viridiplantae, Streptophyta, Magnoliopsida, Magnoliales, Magnoliaceae. The record is from RefSeq and is a predicted model, not a curated record.